Long non-coding RNA from Oreochromis aureus, 455 nucleotides. RefSeq lists it as uncharacterized. Lineage: Eukaryota; Metazoa; Chordata; Actinopteri; Cichliformes; Cichlidae. The record is from RefSeq and is a predicted model, not a curated record. The transcript is spliced from 3 exons.
CAUCAGCGGUCAUGGAGAGUCUCCAUCCAGCUGGAUCACUGUCACAGGUGACACACUCACCUGUCUGUGUUUCUGCAGCUUUCAACAUUCACAAUGUGACGACAACUUAAUGACUGUUUGCGCUUUAUUUUAGGGGAAGACACCACCACACCUCCACCUACAUCCACACCUCCUCCUGGUUGCACCUCUUGUCAUCCAUCACCCUCCCCUCCUGUUGUCACUGUGUUGUCAUUCAUUUUAACAGUCUGUGUUGCAGCUCUACUUACUUUAAUAGUUCUGUUGAUUAAACUUUGUGUUGUUAGAAAACCUGAAGGUGACACUUGGACCUCUGGAUUUGACCCAGCCAAUCGACAGGAAGCUAAAGAAGAUAACCCAAUCAGUAACGUCUUAUAUGACAUCGGACAGAGCAGAGGGAUAAAUCGGGCUGCACUCUACUCAACAGUGAGGAAAAAAAC